GGGCAGCCAGUUAAGCCAACCGCGCUCUUUUCCCCAUGGGGGCUCGGUGUGCAAUGGCUGCAAAAUGCAGCCUCCUUGGCAGCACGUGCAGCCUGUUGCCUGUAUAGGUUGCCCUGAGGGACCUUGGAGACAGCA
This 135-nucleotide small nucleolar RNA is filed under the name Catagonus wagneri (Chacoan peccary). RNAcentral describes it as "Small nucleolar RNA SNORA70 (ENSCWAG00000013871.1)". It matches the Rfam family "Small nucleolar RNA SNORA70". Rfam says of the family: snoRNA U70 seems to be exclusive to mammals and is a member of the H/ACA class of snoRNA which contain H (ANANNA) and ACA box motifs. H/ACA box snoRNAs are involved in the conversion of uridines to pseudouridines (5-ribosyluracil) a constituent of structural RNAs (transfer, ribosomal, small nuclear, and small nucleolar). The record is from Rfam by way of RNAcentral. Lineage: Eukaryota; Metazoa; Chordata; Mammalia; Artiodactyla; Tayassuidae.